CUCAGGAGGCAGAAAGUCAAGCCUCGUUGUCACACCUGAAACCAGAUCCAGAACAGAGCUGCUCCGGCUGGACAGAAGAAGCUGACCCACGGGCUGCGUAUGACCAGGCCCUGAUGAAGCUCAUCAAGAGCUUUCCAAACUGUGACAGAGACUUCCUAGAGGACAUCCUUACCCAGUGUAACAGGGAUUACGAGGAGGCGUCCACACUACUUAUCAGCACACUGAGUUGAACUUCAUGUAUUAUAAAUUCUUUCCCCCAUAAACACAACAAUUUACAACAGUUCCUACAGGCAUCUAGAGGGGAAAGAGUUAAUGAAGGAGCUGUUUGUCCUUAAUUUUCUGUUUGAAACUUUAGGCCAUGGGCCAAAUAAGCAUAUUUACUCAGGGUGAAGAUGGUAGAGAAUUGGCAAAGACAAAGUUUAUCUACUUUGAUGGUGGAUCAGUAUACAAAGCAGUAGGGACUACAAUGCAUUAGACUCCUCUGAAAACAUACCUACAUAAUAUGUGCUCUAUGGGAUCUGUUUUUGAUUAUGCUAUUAAUCACUGAGUGUUUGGUGUUGUGUAUCUGUCUGCAUUCAGUAGUGAGUCAUGUUGUGGUUUUGUCUUGACAUCGAGUAGAAUUGAUGCUCGUUUUUACCAGUUUGGUUAAAGGUCUUCGUAAUGACUCAAAAUCUUCAGCUCAUAUUUGGAGCUCUUGAUUAAAUCAGUGUGUGCAAAUGGAAGAAAGCACUAGCAACAUGCAUGAUGCUUUUGUUCUGUUUUAUAAUCAAAGUUGUGUGCGAUGUAUCUAUAGUAGGAAAAUAAUAUCUAAGUAUGUCAUUUUUGACUUUAGAAAAUUGUUCUACCACAUUGUGCCAAUCGGGACAGAAACCUACAAAAUGACAUUUUUCCAAAGAAGUCCAAUUAUCCUUUUUGAAGCCGAGGUGUUUUUGUAGAAAGCCUUUGUUAUUAGUUUCAGUUCAAAGUCAAAGUUGUUUUAAGGGGCUGCAGGGAAACACUGUUUGGUUGAAUGUUCAUCAAUGUUUACAUUCAUGUGUUGUAGCCAUUUCAUCCCUUUGGUUCUCAUCAGUGUGUUACACAGUGGGCAGUGAGCUGCUGCUGGGGCAGUAAAAUUUAACCUCAUAACAUCAAUGAACUGAACAGCACAGGUGGUUAUAACCUGAUGGCGGCAACAAAAGAACAAAGGGCAUUGCUCUCAACACGAGGGCUGAAAAUCCCCUUUACUAAAGCAUGAAGUCAUGAAGAGUGCUACAGUGUUGAUGUCAUCAGGAAAUGUCUUCCUUUGGAGAACACCAAGAAAUCACAUAUUACUGCAGCAGUUUUACACUUAGUCAUGAAGGUAGAAAGAUGUUGGUGAUGCAUUUAAAUUUCAGUGAAAAAUAUUUACUGUUUGGUAUACCCCUAAAUAAACUCAUCUAUUUAAAUCAAA
Molecule: long non-coding RNA, 1429 nt
Organism: Oreochromis aureus
Lineage: Eukaryota; Metazoa; Chordata; Actinopteri; Cichliformes; Cichlidae
Source: Ensembl